RNAcentral lists this ribosomal RNA (324 nucleotides) under uncultured eukaryote. Its description in RNAcentral is "partial 18S ribosomal RNA". It matches the Rfam family "Eukaryotic small subunit ribosomal RNA", at positions 1470 to 1796 of the family's 1831-position model. The record is from RNAcentral.
CCCUUAGAUGUUCUGGGCCGCACGCGCGCUACACUGAUGCAUUCAACGAGUUUCUUCCUGGUCCGAGAGGAAUGGGUAACCUUUUGAAAGUGCAUCGUGAUAGGGAUAGACUAUUGCAAUUAUUGGUCUUCAACGAGGAAUUCCUAGUAGACGUAGUUCAUCAGACUGCAUCGAUUACGUCCCUGCCCUUUGUACACACCGCCCGUCGCUCCUACCGAUUGAAGAGUUAGGUGAAUUGUUUUGAUCGAUAAGAUUUGACUAUGGUCAACUCUCGUUGUGAAAUUCUGUGAAUCUGACUGUUUAGAGGAAGGAAAAGUCGUAACA